UCUCGACAUUCUUCUCUUGGCCGACGAAGAUAUGUUUAUUCUAUCAUCUUCAUCUUCUCUAGGGUAUUACUUAAUUAUCUUUUUUUUGUUGGUGAAGGUUUUGAAGUGAUGGGGUCUCUUGUUCGUGAAUGGGUCGGAUCUCAGCAAUUUCCAGCGGCUACCCGAGAAAAGUUAGGUGAAUUCUUCGGCAAAUUGAAGCCAAAGGAUAUAAACACUAUGACAGUUCUAGUUCUGGGCAAAGGCGGUGUCGGAAAAUCAUUCACUGACAAUUCUCUUUCGGCGUACAUGUCGUCCGUGUCAGUCCUUUCCAGCUACUACAGCUGCUAAUGAAAGCUUCACAAGACAAGAAGUUUGUGUGUGAGGAGGCAGACAAAGCACUGAAUACGAACUCAGUGGCUCGCUGAAUUAUAGAUGGCGGGGGGUUUGAAUCAUCUUGCUAAGUCUUGUCCACAUGUUUGGGUUGAUGUGUUUGCCCUCUUGAAUGUGCUCUUUCUCCACCGCCUCCUGACGCUAGCUUUGAUGGCUCUGCUGAGAACAAUGGUGUAAAUGGAACUCUGACCUUGGAGGAGAAGCUUGAACUGGUAGAUGGAUCUACUGAUGUGGUUCAGGACUUGCCUGAUGGGGAUGGUGAGCAGAAGCAGCAAGGUCUUGAUGGCGUUCAGGAAGCUGACGGUACGCAAGCGAAGAGUAAUGAUGCUUUCUCAGCUUUUGAAAUAUUAAAGAAGAUGAUACGUUCAGGUGUUGAAAUCAAGCAGUUGUACUUCAAAUAUUCUCAGCUCUUGUAUUUUAUUCUUAAAAUUCCUAAUGGGGUUCA
Molecule: long non-coding RNA, 814 nt
Organism: Eutrema salsugineum
Lineage: Eukaryota; Viridiplantae; Streptophyta; Magnoliopsida; Brassicales; Brassicaceae
Exons: 4
Source: RefSeq, a predicted model, not a curated record